AUGUUUUUUUUUCAUUUAUCCAUCAUCAAUCCAUGGUGCGCUGUCAAAGUUGAAUUUUCUGGUUCCAUGUUCUUCUUCGUUCAUCAAUUGAUUUCAGAGAUACAAGUAAUGUACGAAAAAACCAAAAGUUUGAUGCUUUGGUUUUCUGGGUACUACUUUGACAAAAACCCAUGUUUCUCCAAUUUCGUAUUUGUGAUCAAAGCGUCCAUUUUUGGAGGAAGUUAUCAAGUUUGA
This is a non-coding RNA of Vicia faba (fava bean), 234 nucleotides long. The record is from the annotation of a GenBank genome assembly. Lineage: Eukaryota; Viridiplantae; Streptophyta; Magnoliopsida; Fabales; Fabaceae.